AUUAGAUACCCUGGUAGUCCAUGCCGUAAACGAUGAUUACUAGGUGUGGGGGGAUAACCCCCUCCGUGCCGGAGUUAACACAAUAAGUAAUCCACCUGGGGAGUACAACCGCAAGGUUGAAACUCAAAGGAAUUGACGGGGGCCCGCACAAGCAGUGGAGUAUGUGGUUUAAUUCGAAGCAACGCGAAAACCUUACCAGGUCUUGACAUCUAUCGCUAUCCCAAGAGAUUGGGAGUUCCCUUCGGGGACGGUAAGACAGGUGGUGCAUGGUUGUCGUCAGCUCGUGUCGUGAGAUGUUGGGUUAAG
RNAcentral lists this ribosomal RNA (306 nucleotides) under Bittarella massiliensis (ex Durand et al. 2017). RNAcentral's name for it is "bacterial SSU rRNA". It matches the Rfam family "Bacterial small subunit ribosomal RNA", at positions 777 to 1084 of the family's 1533-position model. Lineage: Bacteria; Bacillati; Bacillota; Clostridia; Eubacteriales; Oscillospiraceae. The record is from RNAcentral.